This 454-nucleotide ribosomal RNA is filed under the name Lactiplantibacillus plantarum WJL. RNAcentral's name for it is "SSU rRNA". It matches the Rfam family "Bacterial small subunit ribosomal RNA", at positions 1 to 425 of the family's 1533-position model. The record is from RNAcentral. Lineage: Bacteria; Bacillati; Bacillota; Bacilli; Lactobacillales; Lactobacillaceae.
AUUAAUUUGAGAGUUUGAUCCUGGCUCAGGACGAACGCUGGCGGCGUGCCUAAUACAUGCAAGUCGAACGAACUCUGGUAUUGAUUGGUGCUUGCAUCAUGAUUUACAUUUGAGUGAGUGGCGAACUGGUGAGUAACACGUGGGAAACCUGCCCAGAAGCGGGGGAUAACACCUGGAAACAGAUGCUAAUACCGCAUAACAACUUGGACCGCAUGGUCCGAGUUUGAAAGAUGGCUUCGGCUAUCACUUUUGGAUGGUCCCGCGGCGUAUUAGCUAGAUGGUGAGGUAACGGCUCACCAUGGCAAUGAUACGUAGCCGACCUGAGAGGGUAAUCGGCCACAUUGGGACUGAGACACGGCCCAAACUCCUACGGGAGGCAGCAGUAGGGAAUCUUCCACAAUGGACGAAAGUCUGAUGGAGCAACGCCGCGUGAGUGAAGAAGGGUUUCGGCUCG